GACGAACGCUGGCGGCGUGCUUAACACAUGCAAGUCGAACGGUGAAGCGCCUUCCUUUUUGGUGGGUGUGGAUGAGUGGCGAACGGGUGAGUAACACGUGAGUAACCUGCCCCCUUCUUCUGGAUAACCGCAUGAAAGUGUGGCUAAUACGGGAUAUUCUGGGUCUGUCGCAUGAUGGGUCUGGGAAAGAUAUUGUUUCGGUGGGGGAUGGGCUCGCGGCCUAUCAGCUUGUUGGUGGGGUGAUGGCCUACCAAGGCGGUGACGGGUAGCCGGCCUGAGAGGGUGGACGGUCACACUGGGACUGAGACACGGCCCAGACUCCUACGGGAGGCAGCAGUGGGGAAUAUUGCACAAUGGGCGCAAGCCUGAUGCAGCGACGCCGCGUGAGGGAUGGAGGCCUUCGGGUUGUGAGCCUCUUUCGCCAGUGAAGCAGGCCUGCCUCGUUUGUGGGUGGGUUGACGGUAGCUGGAUAAGAAGCGCCGGCUAACUACGUG
This 494-nucleotide ribosomal RNA is filed under the name uncultured bacterium. RNAcentral describes it as "partial 16S ribosomal RNA". It matches the Rfam family "Bacterial small subunit ribosomal RNA", at positions 28 to 507 of the family's 1533-position model. The record is from RNAcentral.